CGAACUUCCUUGUUAGGCAUUACCUAACUGGAAAUGCUUAAAUGAAUUAGCGUACAAAGUGGGCUCUGACCGUAAAGCGGUCAUGGCGAAAUGGGAUGAACCAUACGUUUGAAUAAGGUGCCGAAAUGUACUAUCACUGAUACCAUAAAGGGAGUCCAUGUAUUUAGACAGCAGGUCGGUGCCCCUAAAAGCAGGUAUCCGCUAAAGAGUGUGUUAAAACUCACCUGCCGAAUACUAGGGCCCCGAAAAUGAAUGGCGCAUAUAGUACUACCGAUCUCAGACAUCAGUUCUAUUGAACUGAGAGUAGGGGGAUGUGGACAUUUUUGUGAAGGUGCAAUGUGAGUUGGACUGGAAGAAUGUCUAUUACAGAUCCUAAUUGAAGUAGCGAUUAUCCAGGCUUGUAUCCUGGGGGCUGAUGAGGAGUAGGGUUUCUGGACAACUUAAACAGAUCCAGAGUUAGUCGAUCCUAAUCUCAAUAAUGGGAGAAAGGGAGUACAGUUGAUAUUCUGUAACUGACAACAGUUCGCGGCAACGCAUACUAUUUUUCUCCGCCAAUCUUAUACCGUUGGUAGGGAUCUCUUUCCUACAUGACAGUACUAAUACCCAGGGAAACUGGUCAUCAGGCGAACUGCGGCGUUCUGCUGGCAAAACAUAGCUUCGGUUAUGUCAAUGGCUAUUGGAUUGGUCCAUGAAGCGAAAAAUAGUUUACUGUGUCACUCGUACCGAUAACCGCAUCAGGUCUUCUAGGUAAGUAGCCUAUGGCCAUUGAGGCAUGAUAGUUCAGGGAAUUCGGCCAAUUAGAGCUGUAACUUCGGGAUAAAGCUUGGCUCUGAUGAAAAUCAGAACCGAUUGUUACGCGGAGAGCCCAACUGUUUAAUAAAAACGUAGUGUCGCGCUGUGGUAGUAUAGCCAGUGAACGCGACAUGAAUCCUGCUCAGUGCUGUGUCUGUUAAUAUGGUUCAAGCCAACGAAGCACCGGUAAAUAGCUGGGGUAACUAUGACUCUUAUCAAAGUAGCGAAAUACCUCGUCACUUAAUUAGUGACCUGCAUGAACGGAGCUAUGAGGUUCUCACUGUCCCAAACUGUCUCUCAGCGAACCAACUGUAGUGGGAACGGUCACUAGAUAUCCAGCGGGGAAAGAAGACCCUGUAGAGCUCA
This is a non-coding RNA of Trichomonas vaginalis G3, 1158 nucleotides long. The record is from Rfam. Lineage: Eukaryota; Parabasalia; Trichomonadida; Trichomonadidae.